RNAcentral lists this ribosomal RNA (600 nucleotides) under uncultured bacterium. Its description in RNAcentral is "bacterial SSU rRNA". It matches the Rfam family "Bacterial small subunit ribosomal RNA", at positions 733 to 1337 of the family's 1533-position model. The record is from RNAcentral.
AGCGCAACUGACGCUGAAGCUCGAAAGUGCGGGUAUCGAACAGGAUUAGAUACCCUGGUAGUCCGCACGGUAAACGAUGGAUGCCCGCUUUUCGGUCAUUAGACCGUGAGGCCAAGUGAAAACAUUAAGCAUCCCACCUGGGGAGUACGCCGGCAACGGUGAAACUCAAAGGAAUUGACGGGGGCCCGCACAAGCGGAGGAACAUGUGGUUUAAUUCGAUGAUACGCGAGGAACCUUACCCGGGCUUGAAUUGCAGAUGAAGGAUCCAGAGAUGGUGACGCCCUUCGGGGCAUCUGUGAAGGUGCUGCAUGGUUGUCGUCAGCUCGUGCCGUGAGGUGUCGGCUCAAGUGCCAUAACGAGCGCAACCCCUCUCUUCAGUUGCCAUCAGGCUAUGCUGGGCACUCUGGAGACACUGCCACCGCAAGGUGUGAGGAAGGUGGGGAUGACGUCAAAUCAGCACGGCCCUUACGUCCGGGGCUACACACGUGUUACAAUGGGGGGUACAGAAAGCCGGCUGCCCGCAAGGUCAGUCCAAUCAAGAAAGCCCUCCUCAGUUCGGACUGGGGUCUGCAACCCGACCCCACGAAGCUGGAUUCGCUA